Molecule: non-coding RNA, 2016 nt
Organism: Callithrix jacchus (white-tufted-ear marmoset)
Lineage: Eukaryota; Metazoa; Chordata; Mammalia; Primates; Cebidae
Source: RefSeq, a predicted model, not a curated record
CAGACCCUACACCUUAGUGUGGCUGCUUUUUUCUUUUUUGAGAUAGAGUCUUGCUCUGUCGCCCAGGCUGGAGUGCAGCGGCACAAUCUCGGCUCACUGCAACCUCCGCCCCCAUGUUGCACCUUCCCAUCCUCUCCCUUGCUGCGGGAAGGAAGGGCCUGGGCACUGAGUGGGGUCAUUUUCAGGACAAUGUGCAUGUGCGGCGCUGAGCAGGAGGCAUGGCGGGUGAAGACGCCUUUGGCUACUGGCGCUGGGAUCCGGGGACUUCCCACAGCAAGCGCCUGACUGGAGCCUGCAGAGCGGUGCGCUGGUGCCCUCUAGUGGGAGGACACCGCCAUGCAGCCACCUGUCCUGGCCUCGGCUCCAGCAGGCCCUGACCCUGGGGCCACAUUCAGAGCAGGACUGUUAAUGAUGGGGCUGGACUGCCCACAUCACUGCCAGCGUGGCAGCCUGGCCAACCCCUCCACUCCUGUGAUAGAGAUCGCCAAAAAUGCCACCAGUGCACCAGCCUCGUGGAUGGCAUUUGGGGUUUCCCUGGAACCACAGUGUGAGCCCAAGUGUUUCUCAGCGUCUGCCUUGGCCUAUGGCUUCAAUACUCAGAACCAUGACUGAACCCUGAAUCCAUGGCCCCGCACUCAGAGCCUGCGGCUGUCGCCCCUCCCCCUCUUCAGAGUUCCUGGAGAGCGAUGCCGGUCUCAACUCUCCUGACGCUGCCGCCGUGUGGAUGCCGUAAAACCUGGCUACUGGUUAGCUCCUAGCCCAGGGUACCUGCUCCUCUCCCCCAGCCACCAGUGUGGGAAGGAAGACCUUGGGGACCGUUCACACCAGCAAUAGACUCUUUACUUAACUGGCUCGCUAAAUGCCUUUUCAGAGUGCAGAAGCAUUCCUGGCAGCAGGGUUCCCAGAGGUAUGGUGUGAGUCCUGGACACAGACACCUACUGUCUACCCUGUUGCCCUACAUCCUUGGGUGAUCUCCAAGGGCCUGAGUCCAGCAGCGCUAGAGAUGAAGGUCCCUGAGGUCAGCAAUGCAGUGAGACUCACCCCUGGAUUCAUUGCCCCCUGUGGAAACAUAGCCAGAUGGGGCCAUCAGGGAUAGGGGCCUUGGCUUUGGCUGGAGAGGAGCUUGGCCAGACACCUAGGUGUCAGCAUCUGACCCACACUGGAGGCAUCACCUCUUAAGACCACUCACUGCGGCAUGUGCUCCAUGUGUGACCCACUGAGAGAUAAGCUGGGGCUCCCAGGAGAUCUUCACCAGGCAUUCAGUGUGGGGUCCACUGGGGCCCUCUGCUUUGUCGUCAGCCACUAUUCACGCCCCAGACUGCAGGAGCUGCAGCAGCACAGGGGAGGAAGGUGGGGUGUGCUGGGAGAGGACCAGACUUCGCCCUGCAGGGACUGUGACCUGGGCAAGGCACCAGCACUUUGUCGGAGUUCACAGCUUUGAAUACGGCUGGGGCAGAGCACUUGUCCAUGAAGAUGAGUUGUGAGCAAGAAAAGAGGAAGAUUUGGCGCACCUGGAUCUCACAGAACAACUGUGAGCUCCCCUUCUUCCCGCUUGCCUGCAGGAUAGUCACGCCCUGCAGUUGGCGAGGGAGGGGAGGGGAGGCAUGUGACUAGUUCUGUCCAAUGGGCUCUAAGUGGAGCCGAUCUUUCUGGCCCAAACCAUUUAAGACACAGAGCAGGGGUGUCCAAUCUUUUGGCUUCCCUGGGCCACACCAAAAGAAGAAUUGUCUUGGGCCACACAUAAAAUACGCUAACGAUAGCUGAUGAGCUUAAAAAUAAUUGUAAAAUAUCUCAUAAUAUUUUAAGAAAGUUCAGUUUGUUUUGGGCCAUAUUCAAAGCCAUGCUGGGCCACACUCUCUUUGCCCCUGCCAGGGCCACCUGGGAACCAUGGAUUGAGAUGGCAGGGCCACAGAACGCAAUCCACCUGGACCUUGGAGUCCCCAAGGAGCUGUUCUGGAGACCAGCUGGGCCCUCAGCAGAAUGUCAGGAAGUUAGAAAUAAAAUUCUGUGUGUGAU